This 970-nucleotide long non-coding RNA is filed under the name Trifolium pratense (red clover). RNAcentral's name for it is "long non-coding RNA (TPRA_LNC013036)". The record is from RNAcentral. Lineage: Eukaryota; Viridiplantae; Streptophyta; Magnoliopsida; Fabales; Fabaceae.
GCAAUUUCGACAUUUCAGUCAACUAAGCUAGGAUUUAUGGACUAACUUAGGUGUAUUUUAUAUGUAAGUAAAUGCAACUUUUAAAAUUGAAUAUGUUGGUAGUCACAUUCAAAAAGAGAAUUUAUUUUUUCACAUUAGGUUGCAUAGUGAACAGUUUGUAGGACAGUCCACGUUAGGUCUCUUUUCAAAGAUGGUUUUGAUUCAUAGUGUUUGAUUCAUGGUGGUCUUAAGCAGCCGCCAGCGUCCAUCCACCAUCGCGGACUGUGUUGUUUGAUUCAUGGUGGUUUUUCCUCCGUGUUAACUGUUGUGAUGUGGUUGCGUGAGAGCCAUGUAGUGGUAGUUUGUGUUGUGUGCUAAUUGGUCUCAGGUGUUGCGCCGCCUUCAACAACCAUCAUCAUUUAAUUAGUUCGGUGAUCGGUCAUUGUUGUUCAGCUGGUAUGGUGGUUUUAUGUUGUUGUAUAUCUUACCUCGCCUUCACUACCUCUAUCUAAAACAUUGUGCCUCUGCUAUUGUGCGGUUUGUUUUGGAUUUGUUGUUGUCAUAGGUUGUUAACUGCUAUGUUUUCAUUUUUAUGGCCGUCACCUUGUUCCAUCACGUUGCUUCUCUCUGUUGCCGGAGUCACGGCUUUUCCUUUGGAUCGCAUCUGUGGCUUAUGCAUCACGUUCUGGUUGCUCUGCGUCAGAUUAUGUUAUUGUUUGUAAGAAUAAUAGACCUUGCCUUUUCAUUACAUUGUGAUAGGUUAUAUACAAAGAGAGUUUUCUAUACAAUCAUGACUCAUCAAAUACAAUUAUUGACUAAUCAAAUAUAAUUAUUACUAAUCAAAUAUAAUUAUUGCUAAUCAAAUACAAUAAUAGUCUAAUACACCCCCUAGUCGAAACUGGAGAUUGACGAAUGUUGAGACUAUCACGAAAAUCUUCAAAGAGUUGCAAUGGAAGUCCUUUGGUAAAUAUGUCAGCAAUCUGGUAACGAG